This 253-nucleotide unclassified non-coding RNA is filed under the name Hevea brasiliensis (rubber tree). The record is from RNAcentral. Lineage: Eukaryota; Viridiplantae; Streptophyta; Magnoliopsida; Malpighiales; Euphorbiaceae.
GUUUGAGCAAGUAGAUUCUACCUUUCAGAAAGGACUGGUUGAACAUUCAGCUGCAGCUCAGCAGCACUUCGACUCUUCACAUUCUCCAUUGGCACUUGCCUUGAGGGAUGCUAUAAAUUCAGCAUCAACAAUUGCACAGUCCCUGAGUGGAGAAUUGGCUGAAGGCCAAAGAAAACUGAUAGCCCUUGCGACCGCAGGAGCAAAUGCUAGUUCGAUAAAUCCUUUAGUUACCCAACUAAGCAAUGGGCCAUUG